Molecule: ribosomal RNA, 165 nt
Filed under: uncultured bacterium
Lineage: Bacteria
Description: partial 16S rRNA
Rfam family: Bacterial small subunit ribosomal RNA
Source: RNAcentral
UAGGGAAUCUUCCACAAUGGACGAAAGUCUGAUGGAACAACGCCGCGUGAGUGAAGAAGGGUUUCGGCUCGUAAAACUCUGUUGUUAAAGAAGAACAUAUCUGAGAGUAACUGUUCAGGUAUUGACGGUUAUUUAACCAGAAAGCCACGGCUAACUACGUGCCAG